AUUGAACGCUGGCGGCAGGCCUAACACAUGCAAGUCGAGCGGAUGAAGGGAGCUUGCUCCUGGAUUCAGCGGCGGACGGGUGAGUAAUGCCUAGGAAUCUGCCUGGUAGUGGGGGAUAACGUCCGGAAACGGGCGCUAAUACCGCAUACGUCGUGAGGGAGAAAGUGGGGGAUCUUCGGACCUCACGCUAUCAGAUGAGCCUAGGUCGGAUUAGCUAGUUGGUGGGGUAAAGGCCUACCAAGGCGACGAUCCGUAACUGGUCUGAGAGGAUGAUCAGUCACACUGGAACUGAGACACGGUCCAGACUCCUACGGGAGGCAGCAGUGGGGAAUAUUGGACAAUGGGCGAAAGCCUGAUCCAGCCAUGCCGCGUGUGUGAAGAAGGUCUUCGGAUUGUAAAGCACUUUAAGUUGGGAGGAAGGGCAGUAAGUUAAUACCUUGCUGUUUUGACGUUACCAACAGAAUAAGCACCGGCUAACUUCGUG
RNAcentral lists this ribosomal RNA (484 nucleotides) under uncultured bacterium. RNAcentral's name for it is "partial 16S ribosomal RNA". It matches the Rfam family "Bacterial small subunit ribosomal RNA", at positions 30 to 507 of the family's 1533-position model. The record is from RNAcentral.